GCGUGAUUGGCUCAGUUGGUGGAGCAUGUGACUCUUGAUCUCAGGGUUGUGGGUUUGAGCCUCAUGUUGGGUG
This 73-nucleotide transfer RNA is filed under the name Felis catus (domestic cat). It matches the Rfam family "tRNA". Rfam says of the family: Transfer RNA (tRNA) molecules are approximately 80 nucleotides in length. Their secondary structure includes four short double-helical elements and three loops (D, anti-codon, and T loops). The record is from Rfam by way of RNAcentral. Lineage: Eukaryota; Metazoa; Chordata; Mammalia; Carnivora; Felidae.